This is a long non-coding RNA of Maylandia zebra (zebra mbuna), 718 nucleotides long. RefSeq lists it as uncharacterized. Lineage: Eukaryota; Metazoa; Chordata; Actinopteri; Cichliformes; Cichlidae. The record is from RefSeq and is a predicted model, not a curated record.
UGCAUGACUCCAACCACAUGACUUUGCUCAGCCAAUCGAAUGGCAUGUAGGUCAUAGUAAGCCUGUCCCGGCUUCCUCCCGUCAGAUGCGUGGAGGCAAGCCAGGUGACAGAGCUGUUGCAGGUGUGUAUUGGCAAACAUUUGCUUUUCCCGUUUUAAUGCAUUUUUUUAACACCAACUAACUUAUGCAACUUAGAUGCUGAUUACUGUGAGCCAGAGCCAUAAUGUUGUUGUGCACUGAACAGAACGGAAUUGGCCAGGUGAACCUUUUUUGGGUAUGGAAAAGGAUGGCGAGCCAAUGAACGGCUAGGAGCAGGACUCACUCUGCAUUGAAGCUUCCACUGGACUGGUAGGAAGCUAUCAAAGGCGACGCUCUGUCCCGUAAUUUCCGAAUACACUGAUUUCCACAAUCAUACACACCAGUUCCCCCGUUUAUGGACAAUAGCGCUUGGACAUCUCUCAUGGAUAUUCAGAUAAAACUCAUGGACUUCAGUGUGGAUCAGUGUUUUCGAUGUUAACAUGUGUUAUUUAUGGGGAACUUUUUUUGAGAAUCUAUAUUGCUUGGUAUAAGCCAGAAGAAUUUGCUUAGUUGUUUUUGUGCACCCCCACUGGGUUUUUCUAUUAAUUAAAUAGCUACAGCAGGAAUGAUUAUUUAAGCUUUCAUUUUCUUUUCUUAAUUUUCUUUGCUUUCGGUUAAAUACAUGGUACCUGCAAAAGCA